GAGAGAAAGAGGAAGAACACAGAGGGAGGACAUGUAGACGGUUGGUGUGACAGAGGAGGAUGCUAGGGUUAGGGUGGGAUGGAGCAACCACUGUGAGAACCUCUAAAGCGAGCGGCCAAAAGAGGAAGAAGCACAGUCUUCCAGCUAGCAGACCAGAAAGGUGAGUGUAAUUCUUUUUUUUUGAGAGUGAUUCUAUUUUUCCGAGGCAUUCCAGUCUGACACGUUAACAAACGCUUUAACCUUCAGGUCAGUCACACUGGAAGAAGUUAAAACGGUGAUCUCGCCUCAUUUGAACCCUGUCAAAGUGGAAUUUUCAAGGACUCGAUGCGGUCGAGAUCUUCUGCUCCCCCAUGUUUUAAAUAGGGUUAGGGUCCUAGGACUGCGGUCUCCUGGACAAAGAUCCUGGAAUCUGCUGGAGCCACUCUCCCAGUUUGGACGUUACUGCCCUGAGAGCUGUUACCACUGUUGCUUUCAGUUUCCACAUCUUCCCAUCUCUUCUCUAGCUCGUCCUUCAUCCCUUGGUAUUUCUUCUCAUGUCACCAUUUCCAGAUGUUGCUGUCACUCGGUAUACUGUAGCUACAUUCAUCAUUACGGUCGUCUUUCUCUUCUUGUCCACCACCACUAUAUCUAGCUAUCACCAGUUUGUCCAUCUGUAUCUGGAAGUUUGGUCAUUUUCAACCACCUUUAGGGUGUUUCAACACGCCAACUUAGCACAGUCUCAGCCACAGAGACUUUUUUUCCUUUGAAGAUGAGAUGACUGACACUUCUGCUACUGGUAAAAGAUAAUAUUAUUUGAUACUGAUAAAGAAAAUUUCACUAAGAUACAGCGCAGCCACGCUUUCCAGUGCCUCGGCAGAGAGACUGUUUAGCCUUGGGAAGCUUGUCUUCUCUCCAAAGUGGAACAGGCUCUCUGAUGAGAAGUUUGAGAAGCUCAUUGUUUUGAGACAUAACCACUGGUUUAAUGAAUAGCUGUAAAGGGUUGGGGAUGUGACAAAUAAGAAUUCUUUAUAUUAAAAAAAAUAGAGGACAUUAAAACAGGUCACUUUAACAGACAUCUACUGUGAGAACAACACUUGUGUGACUUGUGUUGGACUGCCAAUGGCAAACGACAGCCAUGGAGUUUACAUUUGUAUUACCUGUUUACAUUUUUAUACCUUGGUUAUGUUAUACAGUGCACGUACUUUCUCAGUAUUACAUUGAAAUCACUUCAGCUAUUUUACUUUUGUGUGGAAGAAAAUCCUUGUUCAGCCACUGAUGUCUGAAGCUGUGACAGUUUACAUUGCUUAAAAGCAUAAUUUAAUUUAACAACCAUUGAUAGCCAGUUGCAUCCUGUUGAUGUGCAAUAAUAUCGAAUGUUCUAAAACAACAUGUUUUAUUGUAUUAUUUAUUACAAAUAGAAAAUUAAUUCUAUCUACAAUUAUUAAAAUUGAUCUGAUUGGUGUUUUAUUUCACAUUAUCACAAAGCAACAUUUGAAUAGUUAAUAGUUUCCUGUUAGUUCCUUCUGUGGCCAUUUACUUCAGCUAUAUAUUCAGUUUUAUAACAAACAGUUGAAUAUAUAUUUUAGUAUGUUCAAGUAUGUUUAGUAAUUUAUAAUUUAGUAUUUUAGCAAGUUCCAUUAAGAGGAGAUUCAAGUUCUUUAAACAUUUUUAAAGUAACACAAUAGUUACUUUUCAUGGUAAUUGUUACUUUUAUAAUAUUGUAACUCAGUUACUUGAAGAAAUAACUAUAACUGAUUACUUGCCCAACACUGGUCAGGUUGGUACACAGCUGACAGCUCUAUUUGACAGCUGUUAGAAAUCAUAUUAUGGCAAGAACCAAUCAGCUAAGUAAAGAGCAACGACAGACCAUCAAUAUUUUAAGAACUGAAGCUCAGUCAGUUCAGAAAAUAGCUGAAACUCUGAAUGUGUCCCCAAGUGCAGUUGCUACGUGGAAACUGGAUGACACGAGGACUCUCAGGAAAGGAAGACCAAGAGUCACCUCUGCUGCUGAGGAUAAAUUCAUCUGAGUCAGCAGCCUCAGAACUCGCAAGUUAGCAGCACCUCAGAUUAGAGCCCAGAGCCCAGACGCUUCUCUACACC
Astatotilapia calliptera (eastern happy) is the source of this 2079-nucleotide long non-coding RNA. The record is from Ensembl. Lineage: Eukaryota; Metazoa; Chordata; Actinopteri; Cichliformes; Cichlidae.